This 328-nucleotide ribosomal RNA is filed under the name Escherichia coli. Its description in RNAcentral is "bacterial SSU rRNA". It matches the Rfam family "Bacterial small subunit ribosomal RNA", at positions 87 to 418 of the family's 1533-position model. The record is from RNAcentral. Lineage: Bacteria; Pseudomonadati; Pseudomonadota; Gammaproteobacteria; Enterobacterales; Enterobacteriaceae.
GCUGACGAGUGGCGGACGGGUGAGUAAUGUCUGGGAAACUGCCUGAUGGAGGGGGAUAACUACUGGAAACGGUAGCUAAUACCGCAUAACGUCGCAAGACCAAAGAGGGGGACCUUCGGGCCUCUUGCCAUCGGAUGUGCCCAGAUGGGAUUAGCUAGUAGGUGGGGUAACGGCUCACCUAGGCGACGAUCCCUAGCUGGUCUGAGAGGAUGACCAGCCACACUGGAACUGAGACACGGUCCAGACUCCUACGGGAGGCAGCAGUGGGGAAUAUUGCACAAUGGGCGCAAGCCUGAUGCAGCCAUGCCGCGUGUAUGAAGAAGGCCUU